This is an unclassified non-coding RNA of Pan paniscus (pygmy chimpanzee), 296 nucleotides long. It matches the Rfam family "Metazoan signal recognition particle RNA". From Rfam's summary of the family: The signal recognition particle (SRP) is a universally conserved ribonucleoprotein. The record is from Ensembl. Lineage: Eukaryota; Metazoa; Chordata; Mammalia; Primates; Hominidae.
GCACUUCUAAAUAAAAGUAUAAUUAAUAGUGCUGGUAUUCGUCUCUGAAUCGUCUUGCCAAGGAACUGAACACUGGUGUGGUUUAAAAUACAGCCUUGUAAAGGGCGUCUGCAUUAAGUUCAGCAUCAAUAUAGUGAACUUCUGGGAGAGGGGGACCACCAGGUCGCCCUAGGAGAGGUGAAUCUGCCCAGAUUGGAAAUGGAGCAGAUCAAAACAUUCAUGCUGAUCAGUAGCGAGAUUGCUCCUGUGAAUAGCCACUGCACUCCAGCCUGGGCAACAUAGCAAACCCCAUCCCU